UGUGUCCACUCCCAACCCAGCAACACCCCGU
This 31-nucleotide non-coding RNA is filed under the name Mus musculus (house mouse). Lineage: Eukaryota; Metazoa; Chordata; Mammalia; Rodentia; Muridae. The record is from RNAcentral.